GACGAACGCUGGCGGCGUGCCUAAUACAUGCAAGUCGAACGCACUCUCGUUUAGAUUGAAGGAGCUUGCUCCUGAUUGAUAAACAUUUGAGUGAGUGGCGGACGGGUGAGUAACACGUGGGUAACCUGCCCUAAAGUGGGGGAUAACAUUUGGAAACAGAUGCUAAUACCGCAUAAAACCUAAACACCGCAUGGUGUAGGGUUGAAAGAUGGUUUCGGCUAUCACUUUAGGAUGGACCCGCGGUGCAUUAGUUAGUUGGUGAGGUAAAGGCUCACCAAGACCGUGAUGCAUAGCCGACCUGAGAGGGUAAUCGGCCACACUGGGACUGAGACACGGCCCAGACUCCUACGGAGGCAGCAGUGGGGAAUCUUCCACAAUGGACGAAAGUCUGAUGGAGCAACGCCGCGUGAGUGAAGAAGGUUUUCGGAUCGUAAAACUCUAGUUGUUGGAGAAGAAUGUAUCUGAUAGUAACUGAUCAGGUAGUGACGGUAUCCAACCAGAAAGCC
Molecule: ribosomal RNA, 506 nt
Filed under: uncultured bacterium
Lineage: Bacteria
Description: bacterial SSU rRNA
Rfam family: Bacterial small subunit ribosomal RNA
Source: RNAcentral